UGGGGAAUAUUGCACAAUGGGCGCAAGCCUGAUGCAGCCAUGCCGCGGGUGUGAAGAAGGCCUUCGGGUUGUAAAGCACUUUCAGCGGGGAGGAAGGCGUUAAGGUUAAUAACCUUGGCGAUUGACGUUACCCGCAGAAGAAGCACCGGCUAACUCCGUGCCAGCAGCCGCGGUAAUACGGAGGGUGCAAGCGUUAAUCGGAAUUACUGGGCGUAAAGCGCACGCAGGCGGUCUGUCAAGUCGGAUGUGAAAUCCCCGGGCUCAACCUGGGAACUGCAUUCGAAACUGGCAGGCUAGAGUCUUGUAGAGGGGGGUAGAAUUCCAGGUGUAGCGGUGAAAUGCGUAGAGAUCUGGAGGAAUACCGGUGGCGAAGGCGGCCCCCUGGACAAAGACUGACGCUCAGGUGCGAAAGCGUGGGGAGCAAACAGG
This 429-nucleotide ribosomal RNA is filed under the name Chloroflexota bacterium. RNAcentral describes it as "Chloroflexi bacterium partial 16S ribosomal RNA". It matches the Rfam family "Bacterial small subunit ribosomal RNA", at positions 355 to 776 of the family's 1533-position model. The record is from RNAcentral. Lineage: Bacteria; Bacillati; Chloroflexota.